AACAUGCAAUUUCCCUCGUUAUAUUUUUGCGAUUCAAGUUAUCAACAGAAACAUAUCAAAUUAGUAAAUAUUAUUCCUACACUGUGGCUCACAGGAGGAAGACGUUCCAUUGAAGAAGAAGAAGCAUGCUGAAGGUUUCAUGACGUCACUGAAGACUGGCUCCCUAAUAACAAAUAAAGAGGGUUUAAUGCACUUUUGCAAACUAUCAAUAAACAAAUUUUCAUCGACAUAGUGCAUUGAAUUUCGGAUUACCCAUAUCCGUGUGCGAUUUGUGCUUUGCCGGGAAACUGGUGCCAUAGGAAACUUCACGCCAGCACAGAGUAGCGGUACUGUGGCUGUGUGCGUGACAUCGAACAUCGACGACCACUCGCGCUCACGUACACCAGCGCAGUCGGGCAGCAGAGGGCAAGAAAGAGAAGACGUUUCUGACGUUAGGAGCUAAUCGGAGCGAAAAAAGGUCGCGUUGUACGAGCCGCAAGGGAAACUCUGUGUGUGCAUCAUAAUAAUAAUAUCCGCAGCUACGGGAUCGCGUUUUGCCGCGGGUGAUGAUGGAAAAAUUGUUAACCCAGCCUCCGCACCAAACAGUGGCAAGCGAAUGAUACUAAAAACAUUGAACGAUUGAAACACGCACCGCAUUGUUGGACGGGGCAGCAACAGCCAAUCCGUUUGCAAGGGAUUAGUACGUACAUCGAUGGAUGAGCCAGUUUCACGUGCCAGCCGUAGCCGGUGGUGCUGCCUGCAGACGACGGACCGAUGAAUCUGGCUGGGGGCACGCACGGCAAUGAUAACGCGCGGCAGCAACAGUGUGAAAGUGAAUGAAAACAAUCGCAAGCAAACACAUCAAAUGAGCAAUAUUUUAGAUAAUAAUAAUAAUAAUAAUGUCGUACCGACAAAGUGCAGUGCUGCUGAGGGAUCGUAUUACUAGUAUUUAGACAGUUGUGGUCGCAGCUUAUCGCUGUUUCCGCGCUAGUAUCUCCUCCGUUUGCGUGUGUGUGUGUGCGUGUGUGAAAGUGGACGAGACACGAACGGGAUGUCCGUUCCGGUGUGUGAAAUAUGUGUGUACUGUGCGUUUGUAUUGUAAGGACAGCUUGUGUACGUUUCCGAUACGAUUGAUUGAUCGUUGUGCAUUUAAAGAUCGUUUGAUCGGCCAGAGGCAAAGAGAGCGAAAGAGAGAGAGAGAGAGA
This is a long non-coding RNA of Anopheles arabiensis, 1184 nucleotides long. RefSeq lists it as uncharacterized. The record is from RefSeq and is a predicted model, not a curated record. The transcript has 2 exons. NCBI's taxonomy places the organism in Eukaryota, Metazoa, Arthropoda, Insecta, Diptera, Culicidae.